This 465-nucleotide ribosomal RNA is filed under the name uncultured bacterium. Its description in RNAcentral is "partial 16S ribosomal RNA". It matches the Rfam family "Bacterial small subunit ribosomal RNA", at positions 338 to 795 of the family's 1533-position model. The record is from RNAcentral.
CCUACGGGUGGCAGCAGUGGGGAAUCUUGCGCAAUGGGCGCAAGCCUGACGCAGCGACGCCGCGUGAGGGAUGAAGGUCUUCGGAUCGUAAACCUCUGUCAGCAGGGAAGAACGGUCGCUGUGCUAAUCAGCAGUGAAUUGACGGUACCUGAACAGGAAGCACCGGCUAACUCCGUGCCAGCAGCCGCGGUAAUACGGAGGGGGCGAGCGUUGAUCGGAAUUACUGGGCGUAAAGCGCUCGUAGGCGGUAUGUCAAGUCAAGGGUGAAAUCCCCGCGCUCAACGUGGGAACUGCCUUGGAAACUGGCAAACUGGAGUGUGUGAGAGGAUAGUGGAAUUCCAGGUGUAGGAGUGAAAUGCGUAGAUAUCUGGAGGAACAUCAGUGGCGAAGGCGACUAUCUGGCACAUAACUGACGCUGAGGAGCGAAAGCGUGGGUAGCAAACAGGAUUAGAUACCCGAGUAGUC